UACGUAGGGGGCAAGCGUUGUCCGGAUUUAUUGGGCGUAAAGAGCGUGUAGGCGGCCAGGUAGGUCUGCUGUGAAAACUCGAGGCUCAACCUCGAGAUGUCGGCGGAAACCAUCUGGCUAGAGUCCGGAAGAGGAGAAUGGAAUUCCCGGUGUAGCGGUGAAAUGCGCAGAUAUCUGGAGGAAUACCGGUGGCGAAGGCGAGGCGCUGGACCCUUUCUGACGCUGAGGCGCGAAAGCCAGGGGAGCAAACGGG
This 253-nucleotide ribosomal RNA is filed under the name uncultured bacterium. RNAcentral describes it as "partial 16S ribosomal RNA". It matches the Rfam family "Bacterial small subunit ribosomal RNA", at positions 524 to 776 of the family's 1533-position model. The record is from RNAcentral.